UCGGCGCAGCAGAACGGAUUUGCUACAAUCACGUAAUGAGAAGCGCGCGCGAUAAUUGGACCUUGGAGGGACUAACGAAGGGCGUUCGCUCCUCUUGUCGACUCGCGCGCAAUAAUCGAGUGGAUGAGCAGAUAAAGAGCCGAAGAAAGCAGCAAUGAAGGGUGCGCGAGUCAUGAACACGCCAGGCAGCAUGUCUCGCACUCCAACAUCUUCAUCCAGAUUCAUUUGAAUAAUCAGAACGCCUUACUUGCUUAUAAUAACACAGCCUUCAAUUCAGCGUGCAAGAAAUCAGAUUUUGCUCCAGCAGGUGUGCCUCGUCAAACCCUUUUCAGCACGACCGUGAAACGCCGCAAACAGGAGUCGCAGCAUCGAGAGAUCUCGGCUGCUCUGCUGUCAGUGUCAGAAUUUAAAUGAAUCAAGUUGUCAAUGGCCAAGGAACACCGUUCGCGGUUAAUAAGAAGAACACACAUCGCGUCCGCCGCCACACCCAGCCAGGAAAAUAAGAAAGAUGUGUUCGAACGAGAUUUGGCCUUUUUAGUUUAAAAAUUAAAGAAAAAGAGAGGCCGCGCCGCACUUGUUUUCCUCGAGUGCCUAAUGAAUUUUAAAUUAGAGAGAAAGAAAUAACGACGAGACUCUAAAGCUUUCUGUGGGAGUGCUCGCCGGUGAUUAAAUUCUCAUCAGCCCAAAAACAGCACCCUCGGCAGCAAAAGUGUUUUGUCGCACAGAAACCUAUUUUUCGUUCCAAAAAUUGUUACUUUCUGAAAAAACCAAAUACCUAAAACUGGUAAAACUGGAUUGCAGAAUCGAGGCUUACUAAAGUCGGAGCGUUAGAACGAUGUGAUAAUAAUUGGCCUGGAAACUAGAGGAGUGCAAACAAAUCAUAAAACCGUGGCGAUUCCGGGAAAUGCGUCGGCCCGUCUAAUAAAGAUGAAAAGCGGAUUUGCCGCCGUCGUAAAUCUUGGCCAGAGAUUUUCGCUCGUCACAUCGCAGCAGGGGAAGGAAGACGGCGUGCCAGUGCUAAUGGCCGGCUUUGCUGGCGGAUUAACGAGUGCAAAACAGCUGCGAGAUAAAGUGCAGCCAGAUUUGCAUCACGCUAGUGUGUCAGCUUUAAUCCUCUGGUUUAAUAACCAGCGCCACCAAUUAAACCCAUAAAUAUCUAUGCUUUAUGAGAUGCAUACCUGUCACGAGUAAUUAAAACGCGCUUAUUAAAACUUCAAUCACCGUCAGCCAUGAUUGAUAAUAAUGCCUUGCUGACACAAUGAUGAAUGAUGAAAAGCAUUCUCUCGUCGCUCUGUUAGAGCUUCGAAUUGGCCUUUUAUCAUCAAAUCUGCAAGAAUCGUGAAGUUUCAAAAUAAUUGAAACUCACUAAAAAUUGUUAAAUCAGCUAAAAAAAACAGACCAUAAUUUUUUAGAGAGGAAUAAUUGAAAAAAUAAAUUACGGAAAAAAAUUAUUUUAGAUAUUGAUCGCGAUUGCCCCUUCACCA
Long non-coding RNA from Neocloeon triangulifer, 1484 nucleotides. RefSeq lists it as uncharacterized. NCBI's taxonomy places the organism in Eukaryota, Metazoa, Arthropoda, Insecta, Ephemeroptera, Baetidae. The transcript has 4 exons. The record is from RefSeq and is a predicted model, not a curated record.